UAGCCCUUGGAAUUUGGCUCGGCGGCAUUCAUCUCAAUUUUGCUCUAGGCUUCAUCUCCCUCUUCUACCUCUCCCUGCCCAAAGCCCUUCUGGUCUUCGCUUUACUUUUGAUAUUAGUGUUAAUUCCUGUCGACGAUAAAAGCAAAUACGGUCGCGUAUUGGCCAAAUAUAUAUGUCAAAAUGCUUGCAGCUAUUUUCCUGUUACUCUACAUGUUGAGGAUAUACAUGCCUUUG
RNAcentral lists this unclassified non-coding RNA (234 nucleotides) under Hevea brasiliensis (rubber tree). Lineage: Eukaryota; Viridiplantae; Streptophyta; Magnoliopsida; Malpighiales; Euphorbiaceae. The record is from RNAcentral.